UCCGGCUUGUCACCGGCAGUUUCUCCAAAGUGCCCAGCAUAACCUGAUGGCAACUGGAGACGAGGGUUGCGCUCGUUGCGGGACUUAGCCCAACAACUCACGACACGAGCUGACGACAGCCAUGCAGCACCUUCACGACGGCCCCGAAGGGAAGCUCCAUCUCUGGAGCGGUCCGCCGCAAUUCAAACCCAGGUAAGGUUCUUCGCGUUGCGUCGAAUUAAUCCGCAUGCUCCGCCGCUUGUGCGGGCCCCCGUCAAUUCCUUUGAGUUUUAGCCUUGCGGCCGUACUCCCCAGGCGGGGCGCUUAAUGCGUUAGCUGCGGCACAGAGAACCGGAGAGGCCCCCCACACCUAGCGCCCAACGCUUACAGCGUGGACUAC
Molecule: unclassified non-coding RNA, 379 nt
Filed under: uncultured bacterium
Lineage: Bacteria
Description: contains 16S-23S intergenic spacer region
Source: RNAcentral